UCCUAGUGAAGAAGCAUUCAAGCAUUACUUUCUCCUAAUCCCAGAGUUUGUAAAGGUGAGCCCACUGGGGCCGGCUGGAGACGAGAAAAGUUUGUUCCAGAAGGAACUGAGGAA
This is a small nucleolar RNA of Bos taurus (domestic cattle), 114 nucleotides long. Its record names the gene SNORD22. It matches the Rfam family "Small nucleolar RNA SNORD22". Rfam says of the family: U22 is a member of the C/D class of snoRNA which contain the C (UGAUGA) and D (CUGA) box motifs. U22 is encoded within the U22 snoRNA host gene (UHG) in mammals and has also been identified in Xenopus. U22 is thought to as a 2'-O-ribose methylation guide for ribosomal RNA. The record is from Ensembl. Lineage: Eukaryota; Metazoa; Chordata; Mammalia; Artiodactyla; Bovidae.